RNAcentral lists this ribosomal RNA (256 nucleotides) under uncultured bacterium. RNAcentral's name for it is "partial 16S ribosomal RNA". It matches the Rfam family "Bacterial small subunit ribosomal RNA", at positions 521 to 776 of the family's 1533-position model. The record is from RNAcentral.
UAAGACGUAGGAUGCAAGCGUUGUCCGGAUUUAUUGGGCGUAAAGAGUUCGUAGGCGGUUUACUAAGUCUGAUGUUAAAGACCGGGGCCCAACCCUGGGACUGCAUUGGAUACUGGUAGGCUUGAGUGUGGUAGAGGCAAGUGGAAUUCCCAGUGUAGCGGUGAAAUGCGUAGAUAUUGGGAAGAACACCAGUGGCGUAGGCGACUUGCUGGGCCAUAACUGACGCUGAGGAACGAAAGCCAGGGGAGCGAAUGGG